CAGGAUUAGCUGGUCCAGAACCUUUCAAGGGACUGAAGUGAGACUGACCAGCCUCAGUUCCUUGGGUUCUGCUGCUUGCUUUUCCUG
This is a microRNA precursor of Taeniopygia guttata (zebra finch), 87 nucleotides long. NCBI's taxonomy places the organism in Eukaryota, Metazoa, Chordata, Aves, Passeriformes, Estrildidae. The record is from Ensembl.